ACUGUCCAAAGUGCUUUACAUCAGCUGUUGACACAACGAAGAACGGCGUGGAAGCAGCGACGCUCGGCCGUAGACAGUAUGCGUGAAAGCUGCGAGGCACUAAAUACCAAGCAGAAGACAGAUUCCACUCCACAGAUUUAGGCUUCAGCUUGUUUUGAGGCUGUGCAUCCUCACGAUCCCCGGCCCACAUCAUCAACAAGUGAUCAGAUUCAAAGUUGAAGAUCCACCUUCACACUCAUCCAUUGCAUGUUUGACACCAACCUUCUUUUAAAUCUCUUUUUGAAUUAAACUGCCUUCGCUCUUCGUUCCUGG
Long non-coding RNA from Micropterus salmoides (largemouth bass), 312 nucleotides. RefSeq lists it as uncharacterized. Lineage: Eukaryota; Metazoa; Chordata; Actinopteri; Centrarchiformes; Centrarchidae. The transcript is spliced from 3 exons. The record is from RefSeq and is a predicted model, not a curated record.